GAUGGGGAGCGAAAUUUAGUAGCGAAGUAGCUGAUUUCACACUGUCAAGAAAAGUCUCUAUCGAGGUUAAAGGUACCCGUACCGCAAACCGACACAGGUGGGUGAGGAGAGUAUCCUAAGGCCAGCGAGAGAACUGUUGUUAAGGAACUCGGCAAAAUGACCCCGUAACUUAGGGAUAAGGGGUGCCACCAUCCGGUGGCCGCAGAGAAUAGGCCCAAGCGACUGUUUACCAAAAACAUAGGUUUCUGCUAAGUCGCAAGACGAUGUAUAGGAGCUGACGCCUGCCCGGUGCUGGAAGGUUAAGGGGAUCUGUUAGAGCAAUCGAAGCAGUGAACUUAAGCCCCAGUAAACGGCGGCCGUAACUAUAACGGUCCUAAGGUAGCGAAAUUCCUUGUCGGGUAAGUUCCGACCCGCACGAAAGGCGUAACGAUUUGGGCACUGUCUCAACAACAGACUCGGUGAAAUUGUAAUUCCGGUGAAGAUGCCGGAUACCUGCGACAGGACGGAAAGACCCCAUGGAGCUUUACUGUAGCUUGACAUUGGGUCUUGGUACUACAUGUACAGGAUAGGUGGGAGGCUUUGAAACCAGGACGCCAGUUUUGGCGGAGCCAUCCUUGGGAUACCACCCUUGUAGUACUGGGACUCUAACCAUAGGCCAUGAAUCUGGUCUUGGGACACUGUCAGGUGGGCAGUUUGACUGGGGCGGUCGCCUCCCAAAAGGUAACGGAGGCGCUCAAAGGUUCUCUCAGUACGGUCGGAAAUCGUACGUAGAGUGUAAAGGCAAAAGAGAGCUUGAUUGCAAGACAUACAGGUCGAGCAAGGAUGAAAAUCGGACUUAGUGAUCCGGUGGUUCUGCGUGGAAGGGCCAUCGCUCAACGGAUAAAAGCUACCCUGGGGAUAACAGGCUUAUCUCCCCCAAGAGUCCACAUCGACGGGGAGGUUUGGCACCUCGAUGUCGGCUCAUCACAUCCUGGGGCUGUAGUAGGUCCCAAGGGUUGGGCUGUUCGCCCAUUAAAGUGGUACGCGAGCUGGGUUCAGAACGUCGUGAGACAGUUCGGUCCCUAUCCGUCGCAGGCGUAGGAAAUUUGAGAAGACCUGUCCUUAGUACGAGAGGACCGGGAUGGACG
RNAcentral lists this ribosomal RNA (1127 nucleotides) under Clostridioides difficile. RNAcentral's name for it is "partial 23S ribosomal RNA". It matches the Rfam family "Bacterial large subunit ribosomal RNA", at positions 1565 to 2703 of the family's 2925-position model. Lineage: Bacteria; Bacillati; Bacillota; Clostridia; Peptostreptococcales; Peptostreptococcaceae. The record is from RNAcentral.